CCUACGGGUGGCAGCAGUGAGGAAUAUUGGUCAAUGGUCGGGAGACUGAACCAGCCAAGCCGCGUGAGGGAUGAAGGUACAGAGUAUCGUAAACCUCUUUUGUCAGGGAACAAAGGCGGGGACGUUUCCCCGGAUGAGUGUACCUGACGAAAAAGCAUCGGCUAACUCCGUGCCAGCCGCCGCGGUAAUACGGAGGGUGCGAGCGUUAUCCGGAUUUAUUGGGUUUAAAGGGUGCGCAGGCGGUCUGUUAAGUCAGCGGUGAAAGCCCGGGGCUCAACCCCGGCCCGGCCGUUGAAACUGGCAGGCUCGAGUUGGAGAGAAGUAUGCGGAAUGCGCGGUGUAGCGGUGAAAUGCAUAGAGAUCGCGCAGAACUCCGAUUGCGAAGGCAGCAUGCCGGCUCCACACUGACGCUGAGGCACGAAAGCGUGGGUAUCGAACAGGAUUAGAUACCCCUGUAGUC
RNAcentral lists this ribosomal RNA (460 nucleotides) under uncultured bacterium. RNAcentral describes it as "partial 16S ribosomal RNA". It matches the Rfam family "Bacterial small subunit ribosomal RNA", at positions 338 to 795 of the family's 1533-position model. The record is from RNAcentral.